Molecule: ribosomal RNA, 406 nt
Filed under: uncultured bacterium
Lineage: Bacteria
Description: partial 16S ribosomal RNA
Rfam family: Bacterial small subunit ribosomal RNA
Source: RNAcentral
AUUGAACGCUGGCGGCAGGCCUAACACAUGCAAGUCGAACGAGUGGCGGACGGGUGUGUAAUGUCUGGGAACCUGCCCGAUGGCGGGGGAUAACUACUGGAAACGGUAGCUAAUACCGCAUACCAUCGGCUUUGCCCAGAUGGGAUUAGCUAGUAGGUGGGGUAACGGCUCACCUCGGCGACGAUCCCUAGCUGGUCUGAGAGGAUGACCAGCCACACUGGAACUGAGACACGGUCCAGACUCCUACGGGAGGCAGCAGUGGGGAAUAUUGCGCAAUGGGCGAAAGCCUGAUGGAGCCAUGCCGCGUGUAUGAAGAAGGCCUUCGGGUCGUAAAGUACUGUCAGCGAGGAGGCGUUACCCACAGAAAAAGCACCGGCUAACUCCGUGCCAGCAGCCGCGGUAAUAC